This 1541-nucleotide ribosomal RNA is filed under the name Enterococcus faecium. Its description in RNAcentral is "bacterial SSU rRNA". It matches the Rfam family "Bacterial small subunit ribosomal RNA". Lineage: Bacteria; Bacillati; Bacillota; Bacilli; Lactobacillales; Enterococcaceae. The record is from RNAcentral.
GACGAACGCUGGCGGCGUGCCUAAUACAUGCAAGUCGAACGCUUCUUUUUCCACCGGAGCUUGCUCCACCGGAAAAAGAGGAGUGGCGAACGGGUGAGUAACACGUGGGUAACCUGCCCAUCAGAAGGGGAUAACACUUGGAAACAGGUGCUAAUACCGUAUAACAAUCRAAACCGCAUGGUUUUGAUUUGAAAGGCGCUUUCGGGUGUCGCUGAUGGAUGGACCCGCGGUGCAUUAGCUAGUUGGUGAGGUAACGGCUCACCAAGGCCACGAUGCAUAGCCGACCUGAGAGGGUGAUCGGCCACAUUGGGACUGAGACACGGCCCAAACUCCUACGGGAGGCAGCAGUAGGGAAUCUUCGGCAAUGGACGAAAGUCUGACCGAGCAACGCCGCGUGAGUGAAGAAGGUUUUCGGAUCGUAAAACUCUGUUGUUAGAGAAGAACAAGGAUGAGAGUAACUGUUCAUCCCUUGACGGUAUCUAACCAGAAAGCCACGGCUAACUACGUGCCAGCAGCCGCGGUAAUACGUAGGUGGCAAGCGUUGUCCGGAUUUAUUGGGCGUAAAGCGAGCGCAGGCGGUUUCUUAAGUCUGAUGUGAAAGCCCCCGGCUCAACCGGGGAGGGUCAUUGGAAACUGGGAGACUUGAGUGCAGAAGAGGAGAGUGGAAUUCCAUGUGUAGCGGUGAAAUGCGUAGAUAUAUGGAGGAACACCAGUGGCGAAGGCGGCUCUCUGGUCUGUAACUGACGCUGAGGCUCGAAAGCGUGGGGAGCAAACAGGAUUAGAUACCCUGGUAGUCCACGCCGUAAACGAUGAGUGCUAAGUGUUGGAGGGUUUCCGCCCUUCAGUGCUGCAGCUAACGCAUUAAGCACUCCGCCUGGGGAGUACGACCGCAAGGUUGAAACUCAAAGGAAUUGACGGGGGCCCGCACAAGCGGUGGAGCAUGUGGUUUAAUUCGAAGCAACGCGAAGAACCUUACCAGGUCUUGACAUCCUUUGACCACUCUAGAGAUAGAGCUUCCCCUUCGGGGGCAAAGUGACAGGUGGUGCAUGGUUGUCGUCAGCUCGUGUCGUGAGAUGUUGGGUUAAGUCCCGCAACGAGCGCAACCCUUAUUGUUAGUUGCCAUCAUUCAGUUGGGCACUCUAGCAAGACUGCCGGUGACAAACCGGAGGAAGGUGGGGAUGACGUCAAAUCAUCAUGCCCCUUAUGACCUGGGCUACACACGUGCUACAAUGGGAAGUACAACGAGUYGCGAAGUCGCGAGGCUAAGCUAAUCUCUUAAAGCUUCUCUCAGUUCGGAUUGCAGGCUGCAACUCGCCUGCAUGAAGCCGGAAUCGCUAGUAAUCGCGGAUCAGCACGCCGCGGUGAAUACGUUCCCGGGCCUUGUACACACCGCCCGUCACACCACGAGAGUUUGUAACACCCGAAGUCGGUGAGGUAACCUUUUGGAGCCAGCCGCCUAAGGUGGGAUAGAUGAUUGGGGUGAAGUCGUAACAAGGUAGCCGUAUCGGAAGGUGCGGCUGGAUCACCUCCUUUCUAAGGAA